AACCUCGGCCAUAUCACCCUGCAGCCCAAGACCCGGUUAUUCGCUGAAGCUAAGCAGGGCUGAGCCUGGUCAAUACCUUGAUGGGAGACCACAUGGGAAAACUAGGUUGCUGUUGGAA
This 118-nucleotide ribosomal RNA is filed under the name Danio rerio (zebrafish). The record is from RNAcentral. Lineage: Eukaryota; Metazoa; Chordata; Actinopteri; Cypriniformes; Danionidae.